This 239-nucleotide ribosomal RNA is filed under the name uncultured bacterium. RNAcentral's name for it is "partial 16S ribosomal RNA". It matches the Rfam family "Bacterial small subunit ribosomal RNA", at positions 93 to 334 of the family's 1533-position model. The record is from RNAcentral.
GACCGGCGCACGGUGCGUAACGCGUAUGCAACCUACCUUUAACAGGGGGAUAACACUGAGAAAUUGGUACUAAUACCCCAUAAUAUCAUAGAAGGCAUCUUUUAUGGUUGAAAAUUCCGAUGGUUAGAGAUGGGCAUGCGUUGUAUUAGCUAGUUGGUGGGGUAACGGCUCACCAAGGCGACGAUACAUAGGGGGACUGAGAGGUUAACCCCCCACACUGGUACUGAGACACGGACCAG